UCCCUGGUGGUCCAGUGGCUAAGACUCCACACUCCCAACGCAGGGGGCCCUGGUUCGAUCCCUGGUCAGGGAA
Molecule: transfer RNA, 73 nt
Filed under: Ovis aries (sheep)
Lineage: Eukaryota; Metazoa; Chordata; Mammalia; Artiodactyla; Bovidae
Rfam family: tRNA
About the family: Transfer RNA (tRNA) molecules are approximately 80 nucleotides in length. Their secondary structure includes four short double-helical elements and three loops (D, anti-codon, and T loops). Further hydrogen bonds mediate the characteristic L-shaped molecular structure. tRNAs have two regions of fundamental functional importance: the anti-codon, which is responsible for specific mRNA codon recognition, and the 3' end, to which the tRNAs corresponding amino acid is attached (by aminoacyl-tRNA synthetases). tRNAs cope with the degeneracy of the genetic code in two manners: having more than one tRNA (with a specific anti-codon) for a particular amino acid; and 'wobble' base-pairing, i.e. permitting non-standard base-pairing at the 3rd anti-codon position.
Source: Rfam by way of RNAcentral